AUAACGGUCCUAAGGUAGCGAAAUUCCUUGUCAGGUAAGUUCUGACCCGCACGAAUGGCGUAAUGAUUUGGGCACUGUCUCAACAGCCCGCCCGGCGAAAUUGUAGUACUGGUGAAGAUGCCAGUUACCCGCAACUAGACGGAAAGACCCCAUGGAGCUUUACUGCAGCUUAAUACUGGAAAUCGGUAAUUCAUGUACAGGAUAGGUGGGAGACUUGGAAGUACGGGCGUCAGCUCGUAUGGAGUCGCUGGUGGGAUACCACUCUUGGAUUACUAGGUUUCUAACCUGCGGCCGUGAAUCCGGUCGGGGGACACUGUUAGGCGGGCAGUUUGACUGGGGCGGUCGCCUCCAAAAGAGUAACGGAGGCGCUCAAAGGUUGGCUCAGCACGGACGGAAAUCGUGCAAUGAGUGUAAACGCAUAAGCCAGCCUAACUGCGAGACCGACGGGUCGAGCAGUAACGAAAGUUGGAGUUAGUGAUCCGGUGGUAUGUGAGUGGAAAUGCCAUCGCUCAACGGAUAAAAGUUACCCUGGGGAUAACAGGCUGAUCUCCCCCAAGAGUCCACAUCGACGGGGAGGUUUGGCACCUCGAUGUCGGCUCAUCGCAUCCUGGGGCUGUAUUCGGUCCCAAGGGUUUGGCUGUUCGCCAAUUAAAGCGGCACGCGAGCUGGGUUCAGAACGUCGUGAGACAGUUCGGUCCCUAUCUGUUGCGGGCGUAAGAGAUUUGAAGGGAGCUGUCCUUAGUACGAGAGGACCGGGAUGGACGUACCUCUGGUGCACCAGUUGUCCUGCCAAGGGCAUAGCUGGGUAGCUAUGUACGGACGAGAUAAACGCUGAAAGCAUCUAAGCGUGAAACUCCCCCUAAGAUGAGAUCUCUCAUCCUUCAAGGAGUAAGGACCCAGAAAGACGAUCUGGUUGAUAGGCCGAAGGUGGAAGCGCAGUAAUGUGUGGAGCUGAUCGGUACUAAUAGUCCGAGGGCUUGACCUA
RNAcentral lists this ribosomal RNA (985 nucleotides) under human gut metagenome. RNAcentral describes it as "bacterial LSU rRNA". It matches the Rfam family "Bacterial large subunit ribosomal RNA", at positions 1942 to 2925 of the family's 2925-position model. The record is from RNAcentral.